AGCGAACGCUGGCGGUAGGCCUAACACAUGCAAGUCGAACGGCAGCACAGUAAUUGCUUGCUCUUACGCGUGGAGACUGGUGGACGGCUGAGGAAUACAACGGAAGUUAUUUUUUCGUGGGGGAGAUCGAAGGGUAACUUACUCUAACUAAUCAUACGACCUACGGCUGGAUGCAGGCUAUGUUCGGAAAUGACGCGCUAGUAGGAGCCGAUGUCCGCUCAGCUAGUUAGCGGGGUAAGGGCCUACCAAGGCGACGAUGCGUAGCUGGUCAGCGAGGAUGAUCAGCCACACUGGAACUGAGACACGGUCCAGACUCCGACGGGAGGCAGCAGUGGGGAAUAUUGGACAAUGGGCGCAAGCCUGAUCCAGCCAUACCGCGUGGGUGAAGAAGGCCUUCGGGUUGUAAAGCUCUUUUGUUGGGAAAGAAGAGCAGCAGGUUAAUACCGCGCUGUUCUGACGGUACCCAAAGAAUAAGCACCGGCUAACUUCGUG
RNAcentral lists this ribosomal RNA (492 nucleotides) under uncultured bacterium. RNAcentral describes it as "partial 16S ribosomal RNA". It matches the Rfam family "Bacterial small subunit ribosomal RNA", at positions 29 to 507 of the family's 1533-position model. The record is from RNAcentral.